GAGCUACUUGGAUUAAUACUCUAGGAUAGUGGACGUUACUCGCAGAAUAAGCACCGGCUAACUCUGUGCCAGCAGCCGCGGUAAUACAGAGGGUGCGAGCGUUAAUCGGAUUUACUGGGCGUAAAGCGUGCGUAGGCGGCUUUUUAAGUCGGAUGUGAAAUCCCUGAGCUUAACUUAGGAAUUGCAUUCGAUACUGGGAAGCUAGAGUAUGGGAGAGGAUGGUAGAAUUCCAGGUGUAGCGGUGAAAUGCGUAGAGAUCUGGAGGAAUACCGAUGGCGAAGGCAGCCAUCUGGCCUAAUACUGACGCUGAGGUACGAAAGCAUGGGGAGCAAACAGGAUUAGAUACCCUGGUAGUCCAUGCCGUAAACGAUGUCUACUAGCCGUUGGGGCCUUUGAGGCUUUAGUGGCGCAGCUAACGCGAUAAGUAGACCGCCUGGGGAGUACGGUCGCAAGACUAAAACUCAAAUGAAUUGACGGGGGCCCGCACAAGCGGUGGAGCAUGUGGUUUAAUUCGAUGCAACGCGAAGAACCUUACCUGGUCUUGACAUAGUAAGAACUUUCCAGAGAUGGAUUGGUGCCUUCGGGAACUUACAUACAGGUGCUGCAUGGCUGUCGUCAGCUCGUGUCGUGAGAUGUUGGGUUAAGUCCCGCAACGAGCGCAACCCUUUUCCUUAUUUGCCAGCGGGUUAAGCCGGGAACUUUAAGGAUACUGCCAGUGACAAACUGGAGGAAGGCGGGGACGACGUCAAGUCAUCAUGGCCCUUACGACCAGGGCUACACACGUGCUACAAUGGUCGGUACAAAGGGUUGCUACCUAGCGAUAGGAUGCUAAUCUCAAAAAGCCGAUCGUAGUCCGGAUUGGAGUCUGCAACUCGACUCCAUGAAGUCGGAAUCGCUAGUAAUCGCGGAUCAGAAUGCCGCGGUGAAUACGUUCCCGGGCCUUGUACACACCGCCCGUCACACCAUGGGAAUUUGUUGCACCAGAAGUAGGUAGUCUAACCGCAAGGAGGACGCUACCACGGUGACCA
This 1028-nucleotide ribosomal RNA is filed under the name Acinetobacter sp. RNAcentral describes it as "bacterial SSU rRNA". It matches the Rfam family "Bacterial small subunit ribosomal RNA", at positions 441 to 1469 of the family's 1533-position model. The record is from RNAcentral. Lineage: Bacteria; Pseudomonadati; Pseudomonadota; Gammaproteobacteria; Moraxellales; Moraxellaceae.